AGAAUCAACGCUGGCGGCGUGCCUAACACAUGCAAGUCGAACGAGAAAGUGGAGCAAUCCAUGAGUAAAGUGGCGACCGGGUGAGUAACACGUGACUAACCUACCUUCAAGUGGGGGAUAACCUCGGGAAACCGGGGCUAAUACCGCAUAACAUCUUUGGAGUGGAAAUUCUGGAGAUCAAAGGAGCAAUUCGCUGGAAGAGGGGGUCGCGGCUGAUUAGCUAGUUGGCGGGGUAAUGGCCCACCAAGGCUUUGAUCGGUAGCCGGCCUGAGAGGGCGCACGGCCACACUGGAACUGAAACACGGUCCAGACUCCUACGGGAGGCAGCAGUGGGGAAUUUUGCGCAAUGGGGAAACCCUGACGCAGCAACGCCGCGUGGAGGAUGAAGUCCCUUGGGACGUAAACUCCUUUCGACCGGGAAGAUGAUGACGGUACCGGUGGAAGAAGCCCGGCUAACUUCGCGCCAGCAGCCGC
This 474-nucleotide ribosomal RNA is filed under the name uncultured bacterium. Its description in RNAcentral is "SSU rRNA". It matches the Rfam family "Bacterial small subunit ribosomal RNA", at positions 26 to 518 of the family's 1533-position model. The record is from RNAcentral.